GUCCCUGUAGCGCAGUGGAUAGCGCAUUGGACUUCUAAUUCAAAGGUCGUGGGUUCGAAUCAAACCAGGGAUG
Molecule: transfer RNA, 73 nt
Filed under: Trichonephila inaurata madagascariensis
Lineage: Eukaryota; Metazoa; Arthropoda; Arachnida; Araneae; Nephilidae
Rfam family: tRNA
About the family: Transfer RNA (tRNA) molecules are approximately 80 nucleotides in length. Their secondary structure includes four short double-helical elements and three loops (D, anti-codon, and T loops).
Source: Rfam by way of RNAcentral